Molecule: long non-coding RNA, 14259 nt
Filed under: Medicago truncatula (barrel medic)
Lineage: Eukaryota; Viridiplantae; Streptophyta; Magnoliopsida; Fabales; Fabaceae
Description: long non-coding RNA (MTRU_LNC003472)
Source: RNAcentral
GUAAAGAGCAACAUCGGCAAAUUUAUUGGAUAGCCGUCAACUUAUUCUAGUCACUUAGUUGUUUGCUUCAUUAUGUGAAUACUUGUUCUCAAUUUAAAGCACUUAUGAAAGUUUAAAGUUUCUCUUUCAAAUCAUCAAAUACUGAGAGACUGAUUUAAUACAACUUUAUUGAAAGAACUAUAGGAAGAGUCUAUACAGAAAGAUGAUUUUUAUUUCUAUGAACAUAUAAUACAAGGAUAGAGUCUUUUAUUACAAUAUUAAUCAUGAAGACUCACUUAACUAUAAUACUCUAUUUCCGGUGACACUCUUCAAAGACCUCAUCAUGCAUGCUUUAUUUUCUUCACAUAAAUAUAGCAUAACAUGCAAGUUCAAGAUCACACGCAUUCAAUUCGCUUCUUAGCAACAAGACAGAGAGGAUUUUUCUUGUGUUGAAUAAGUCCGGCUUGACCAUGAGUGUCAAUGUCUUCCCUCUUAGCUCCUUCAGGCAUUUCCCAGUCAAAUGAAUAGAGAAGAUUAGAAAGUACAAGGUCGAUGGUAGCAAUAGCCAUGUUUAAGCCGGGGCAAAUUCUUCGCCCAGAACCAAACGGAAUCAGCUCAAAAUCUUGUCCUUUUAAAUCUAUAUCACUUCCUAUGAAUCUCUCUGGAUAAAACUCUUCUGGAUCCUUCCAUACUUCUGGGUCUCUAUGGAUCGCCAAUGCAUUCACGUACACCAAUGUCUUGUCUGGAAUGUCGUACCCUGCAAUGUUGCAAUUUGUCAUUGUUUCUCUUGGUAAAAGUAUAGGCAAAAUUGGGUACAAUCUCAUCGAUUCUUUUAUAACGGCCUUGAAAUAUGGAAGCUUUUCGACAUCUUCUUCCUCUAUAAAACCUUUCCCUGCACACACUUUCCGAAUCUCUUCUUGUACUUUCUGCAUCGCUCUUGGAUUCUUCAUUAGCGCAGUCAUAGCCCAGACUACCGCUGCCGCAAUUGUUUCUGUCACAGCAAACGACAUAUUCUGCAAUAUUGGACAAGUUUCAAUAUGUUUCAUGAACUAUUCUGCAAAGAUAAAAUGUUUUGAAAUUGAACCAAGAUGAAGGCUUAAUAAGAGUGAAGAAUAAAAAUAAUUAAAAAAAAACAUUAACCAUGAUCAAGGGCUUGAUGUGUUCUGCAGUGAGAUCCAUUGAGCAGUAAGGAUCAUUCUUCAGUUCAAUCAAGGCAUCAAUAACAUCAUCCUCAUGUGGAGGCAACUUCUUCCUUUCUGGAUCAAGAUGUUCAUCAACAAUACUUUGAUAAAGUUCAUCUGAAACCUUGAACGUUUUCUCAAGGCGACUCGUCUUUCCGGUGAGCUUAUCAACAAUCCCUCCAACAAAGGGCAAAUAAUCCGCGUAAAAGAACGAAAUUAGCAAAUCCUGAACUUCUUUAUGCAGACCUUGAAACAUGCUACGCUCAAUUCCUUCCCCUUCAUACCUUCUGCCGAAGGCGGUCUUACAAACUAAAGUACUUGUAAGACAAGUAAGAAGAUCCUGCAUGUUCAUAACUUUGUUGGAAGAAGCAUUUUCUGAUAUCUUCUUGAUCAUUCGUGUCACCUCAUCUUUUCUAACUGAGUAAAACAUUGAGACUCUUUUGACACUAAGAAAAUGAAUAAAGGAAAGUUUUUUUGUGUGUCUCCAAUAUUCUCUAUAUGGUGCAAAUAUUUGAUCUAAUCCAUUAUAUGAUAUUUUCAUAUGGCUGAUUAACGCGGGUCGGUUACAGAAUUCGAUAUCAUGUGUUUUCAUUACUUCUUUGGCCAUUUUUGCUGAUGAAACAACGACUGUUUGCUUUGAACCAAGUUUAAGGGAGAUUAUAGGGCCAUAUUUCUUAGAGAGUUCAUAGAAAUUUAAACCAAGAACUGAACUAUCAAGUUGGUGUAAGUUUCCAAUGAAAGGAAGGCCUUUAGGACCUGGUGGAAGAGUUGUUGAUUUCUUAGAUGUUUUGUGUUUUUUGAACAAGAAGAAUAGCAAGAGAGCAAAGGGUAAAAGAAUAAGGGGUGACAUGUUUUUGUUCAUGAAUUAGGGAUAGCUAUUCAGCUAUUGUAAUAUAUAGAUAGACACCACCAACUCUUUUUAAGGUACUUCACUUAUAGUUUUGGAUAAGAACGUUAUGUCAUAAUUUGAUCCAUGUAGCUGACUGUACUUAAGGGAUAAGGUUUGAUUGUUUUUGUCACAUUGCAUUUUGAAUACAUCAGUAUAGGACGAAUAUAGACACGAAAAGCAAACAUCAGCCGAUUAAUACUAUUUAUUAUUACCCUUAAAAUGACUAAACCACUUUUUGAAUACAUAAGUAUGGGACGAAUAUAGACACGAAAAGAAAACAUCAGUCAGUUAAUACUAUUUAUUAUUACCCUUGAAAUGAGUAAACCACUUUUUGAAUACAUCAGUAUGAGACGAAUGUAGACACGAAAAGCAAACAUCAUCCAGUUAAUAUUAGUUAUUAUUACCCUUAAAAUGACUAAACCACUUUUUGAAUACAUCAGUAUGGGACGAAUAUAGACACAAAAAGAAAACAUCAGCCAGUUAAUACUAUUUAUUAUUACCCUUGAAAUGAGUAAACCACUUUUUGAAUACAUCAGUAUGGGACGAAUAUAGACAUGAAAAACAAACAUCAGCAAGUUAAUAUUAUUUAUUAUUAUUUAUUAUUACCCUUGAAAUGACUAAACCACUUUUUGAAUACAUCAGUAUGAGACGAAUAUAGACACGAAAAGAAAACAUCAGCCAAUUAAUACUAUUUAUUAUUAUUUAUUAUUACCCUUGAAAUAAGUAAACCACUUUUUGAAUACAUCAGUAUGGGACGAAUAUAAACACGAAAAGAAAACAUCAGCCAGUUAAUACUAUUUAUUAUUAUCCUUGAAAUGACUAAACCACUUUUUGAAUACAUCAGUAUGGGACGAAUGUAAACACGAAAAGCAAACAUCAGCAAGUUAAUAAUUAUUAUUUAUUAUUUCAAGUAAACCACUUUUUGAAUACAUCAGUAUGGGACGAAUAUAGACACAAACAACAAACAUCAGCCAGUCAAUACUAUUUAUUACUCCAUCCGUUUCAAAAUGAGUGUCAUUUUAACCAAAAAAAAAUUGUAUUAAAAUGAUUGUCACUUUCAGUUUCCAAUGCAAUAAUAACAAUUGUUUCAAAAAUUGUUGUACAAAUAUCAUUUCUCUUUUUAUUAUUUGAUUCUCACACUCUAAACUAAACAAAUAUCGAGAUGUCAAUUUAUCCAAAAAUAAAUAAAUAUCGACAUGUCAAUGCUAUUUUAUUAUUUAUUAUCACACCGUAAAUCUCUGAAAACAAUAAGCUUGCACAAAACUGCAUGUCUUCGUGGAUUCAACAUUUCUUUUAAGAUGUAAAAUUAUGUAAAAGACAACGAGUUAAAAUUAUAUCAAUAUAUAUAUAUAUAUAUAUAUAUAUAUAUAUAUGGGGUUUGCUAACUUAGAACAACAAAAAAACGUGAAGGUCCAAGUUAGCAAAAAUGCACUUUUUCAUUUGAACAAAAAAACAAAUAUCCAAAUUGGUAAAUAUCCCUCAAGCUAUUUGUUAUAAAAUAAAAGUGGGUCUAAGUUAGCAAGCAAAUUGGUGUAAGUUAACAAACAUGUUUUAAUGAAAAUUACUAAAGUAACCCUCAAACUAUUUGUAAUAAAAUAAAAGUGGGUCUAAGUUAGCAAAUUGGUGCAAGUUAACAAAUAAGUUUUAAUAUAAAUUACUAAAAGAUUAUCAACUUUUUUGUUAUAACUUGCUAAAAGACACUUUAAUAAAAAUUAGUUGGUGUCUUUUAACAAAUGCCUAUAAGAUAACUUGCUAAAAUACACCUUCAUAAAGGGUGUCUUCUAUAUAUAUAUAUAUACCAAAAAAAGUUGAUUUUAUAUCAUUAUACAUUUCACCAAAUGAUAUACAUUUCAACUAACGAUAUAUAUUUAAUCUAAUCCGCCCCAAGAUCUAUGCUAACAUCAUCAAGAUUAUAGCUUUUAUCAUUUUCAAUCUUCACACCAUCUUCAACCUUCUUCUCAGCAUCAAGCUUCUUUACAAGAUCAACCAUCUGUCUGAUAUAUCUAUCAGGCCAUCUUUUUGCAUCAUCUAGAGAGUGUUGUCACCAUAGCGGGCAAAUGGGAGGAAUUGGAAAACCAUCAUUCAAAUAUAUUAUCAUAAAAUGGUUGUCAUUCACAUGUGUCAGACACAUCAAUCGACCUCUAUGUGAUGGUGCACCACAUAGAGGGAAAUAGGUUUCCAAUCACCCUUUCGCAAUAGACAGUAGAACCACCACAUGUUUGUAUCUCUGUACAAUGAGGAAACUCAUAUCCGGCAUGGUCAUCCAUUUAUCCGGUGGUGCAUGACCAAUAUCGGAAUAAGUUAGAGCGCCUAAGACCUGUUUAUAUCGCCUAUCUACACAAAUCAUCUGUCGAUAGCACGCAUUUUCUUCAUCGAUAAACUCUUUGUGAAGUUGGUAACAGAUCAACUGGCGAGCAUCAACAUACAUGUCACGUAGGUCCGCAACGGCACAAACCCCACAAUGGCCAUCACAACUACAUCCACCUCCUUUUCAAUAAAUUCAUGCAUCCAAUGUGGGAUUUGUUCUUUGUGUGGUAUGUGGACUUUAACCAGAAUUGGCUUAGGAGGAUUAUAAGACAUGUUGCUUUUCCGUGCACUUUCUCUACUUGUCCCUGUUGAAUUUGUAUGUGAAGCACGUGUUUGUUGAUCCUGGGAGUCAACAAUCUCCUAGAGCAAAGGCGAUCAUUUUGUUGACUAAAUGAUAUGUUUAUUUUUCUUUGGAGCUCCUUUAGGGGGUGACUUUUUUUGGCGGUGGACGCAUAGAGGUCAUCUCCUGCAAAGAAAACUGUCGAAAUUGUUCUUUGAUGCGCACCUUCAUGUUGUAAUCAACGUCCUUGAUUCGGGCCUACAAUGCGUACAAAAAUCUGUCAGGUGGAAUGUUGUAGAAAUCUAAGAAAAUAUGCAUUAUGUUUUGUCCAGUGACUAUUCGGAUUAUAUAAUCUGAAACAUCUCAACCCCCCCCCCCCCCCCCCAGAUCAUGCAAACCAAGUACGUCUGCAUGGUGCUUAAAUGAAAAUUUUUCGGAUUAUAUAAUCCAAAAUUCAUUUAAUAGCUUUUCAUAUUAUAUAAUCUGAAUUCAACCAGUACAUAAAUAGAUCACCCUCUUACUCGAACUUCAACCUCAUCUAGUGAGUGUGGAUGUCAUCCAAACAAAUGGGGGUGUUGUUCUUGAUCUUCAUUGCAAUCGUACACGCACAUGGAAAUCUGUAAGCGAUGAAAAUUAAACAACCACACUUGGAUUUAUCCGUACUACAACCAACUACUCGAUCAACCUCGAUUGCGAGAUAAUGCAAAGCGUUCCUUGGUAUGUUUCGAAUCAACCUAGCCACAACAACUUUCCUUUGAACCUAUGUUCAAGCAUGAUCAUGCUCGUCUAGAAGGAAGCAUGUAUUUGAGUAUGUUGUGACUCUAGCAUGUUGUGAGUGGAGUUCCAUUUUGUACUUAAUUCACCCAUACUACUAUAGUAAGAUACUUUUUCAACGGUCUGUGUGCAUAUUCUGCUCUGUUUGUCGUAGUAUUUCCCAUAUGCUUGACUUUAGUGAACCAAAAAUUCACAAUCUAUUCCUUCACCGAACCCAAAAUUAUAUUUUCAACAUAUUUCAAAAACUUAGGAAAUUUGUGGCAUACAACUUUGAACCGGUUGCAAUUAUCAACAUAUGCUUGCUCUGUAUCAAAAUUCACGAUAUCCUCCCAUGCAACCAUAACCGUUUUCACCACCUCACUUAACUUGAUCUCUUUCCCAUCCUUGCCUUUUAAAUCCUUAACUUUGCAAUCCGUCUUACAUUUUGCUCUAACAUUUUUUUAAUGUGAUACUCACACAAGAGAGCAGUAGCUUCAAGGAAAACAAUAUACACAACAUUCAUCAAAGCAUGUUAAUAAUUAGAGACAGCUACAUUGGGUGAAAUAUCUUUGGAAUGCAACAGUUCACGACACCUGUCAUGAGACCAAGUAACAUUAUCUUCCUUCUCAUACAUCAUAUAACCAAAUCCAAUAGAGAACAUGUACUCGAUAUAAGUGUUACUAACAAACUCAAGUAACGGAAGACGAUACUUGUUGGUCUUAUAAAUCGAACCCAUCACAAGCACCGUAGGCAACAUGUUAAACAACUUGAUACCAUUUGGAUGUGCUUGGAAAAUAUCACUUACAUCAUCGGAAUCAUGAUACUUCCUACGUGAUACAUGUACUCCUUCUCAACCAAUUAUUUCAAAAGAUGUUGCAUGCCUGUUCUCGUACCCCUAAUAGACGUCCGACGAUUUUAUGACCUUUCAACACCUCUUCCAUGUCAUGGUUGUGUCUACCGUCACCAACUUGGAGGCUCCAAUCACCAACAAUUAACAAAUAACCUCUCAACCGAAACAAACACUCACAUUUAACUGAACCAGAUAUUUUGUGUCUCUUCAACUUCUUGUACUCCGUGUAUGAACCUCCUCUUUUACAUAUCACAAUAACAAAUGCAUUUAUCCCAUUUCCACCUCUAUCUGAUUUACCAAUAACGGUUGAAAAACCUAGCUUCCUCUCGAAGCCACUUCAAAAAAUCGUUAUGAAUAGCAAACUUUUGUUUGAUGGUAAAAUUUUCUUGAUGAUUAAUAGAAACAACAACAUCUUGAGGUACAACAAUCGAAGGAGCAUUCUCUGCUUUCACAUUGCCGGAAGGAAUGUCAACUUUCGGUGGAGGUACCUCGGGUUUGCCGUUUUCAGAAUCAUCUAUAACUUCAAGAUCAACAACCGACAGCACAUUAGGUGGUUCAAUAUUAGGUGGCUAUUCAUUGGACGCAUCAACAGAAACAUCCAUUACUGAAACAGUGCGAAAGCAUGGUCAGAAAAUGCAAGCACUUUAUGUACUGGUGUUAUUCUUUAUUUAUCACACUCUAAAUCUUUAAGAUAUACACAUCACUGACUUCUUUAAGGCACUUUAUAAUAUGUGUCAUCGCCAUUAAAGUUACAAUAUUAUUUUAAAUUGUUUUUGUCUCAUUUCAUUUUGAAUACAUCAGUAUGAGACGAAUAUAGACACAAAAACAAACAUCAGCAAGUCAAUACUAUUUAUUAUCUUUUGUAAAAAAAAAAAGAAAAAAAAUACUAUAUAUUAUCUAUUUAUCACACUUUAAAUGAGUAAACUACCAAUUUUGUCUUAAUCUUUAUAAUUUUGAAAAACGUUUGACAAUAUUUCUAAAUAGUCUAUGUCUUUGCCAAAAGUUUCUCCAUUAAACGCAUGUUUCUAUGUUUUUUUCGCAUGACGAGAGACUUAAUUGAGAAAACUUUUGACAAAGGCAUAGACUAUUUUAAAAUAUUAAUAGAGUCGGAGGAUAAUUUGAGAAUCACUUACAAAGACAUGACCGAUUUGAUUAUUUACUCCACUUCAAAUCCUUUAAUGUAGACACUACCAACUCUUUUAAGAGCAUCCAUAAUGGUAGUAACUAAUAGGGACUCCUUAAAUGAGCUUCACAUGUACAAAUUAUUUAUUUAUAAUUUUUUAAUAAAAGUAUCUAUUAAGGACUCAAUGACUCUAAAGACAAUACACUAAUAUGGAUUUCAAUAAAAAAUACUUAAAUAUGUCCGACUAACUUUACAUCAUUAUACAAAAGUAAUUUAUUUAUUACAUUAUCAAUUACCUCAUAAAAUAUUUCUUUUAAAAGUGGAACCAACUUAUAUAUAUUUUAUCAUUUUUUUAAACUUUGGACCAGUUAGUUUUUCAGAAGAGAGAAUCCUUAUAUAAUUGUAUGUUAUUUAAUAGAUACUUUUUUUUUUCCUUUAAUAGAAUGUCCUUGACAGAGAAUGAUCCUUAUUAAGCAAGGACCUCAUAUUAAUGAUGCUCUAAGACACUUUCUCUUGUAUGUCAACUUUUCAAAUCUAUCAACACAAAAGUUACAAUAUCAUAAUAUCAUAAAGUUAACAUUCAACAUCGCUCAAGAGAACACACAUUAAAAGAAAAUAUUUUUUAAUUUUUUUUCAACUCAUUUCAUUUUGGGUAUAGUAAUAGCGGUUGAAUAAAGACACUAGAGCCAGUCCAAUCACACUUUUUUAUUAUUUGAUUCUCACACUCCAAACAAAUAUCAACAUAUCAAUGUUAUUUUAUUAUAAGUUUAAUAAUGGUAGGUUGACGGUUUAAAACAAUUUUGCAUACACAUCGCAAUCAAAACAUUUCAAAUUGCAGCAAAACGGACAGAUCCAGGGAACUUCAGGUGGCUGCAUGUACAUAAAAGACAAACAAAUGAUAUGAUGUAACAGGUACGUUGCAUGACAAAUUUCUUCUCUAUGAUUGUAAUGCUACAAAUUCAAUUGAUAUUCCGACAGCAAAUUAUUUUCAUUAGGAAAUAUAUAUACAUUGGUUGUUUUCCGGACAGAUACAUGGAAUUUCAUCGAAUAGAUUAAAUUAUAGAUAGUGCAAAUAACAAAAGGAAAAAUAUUGCUCUAGUGACAUCAUUUUGGUUGGUUUUUCAAUAGGCUCCAGUGACAUCAUUUUAGCCACUUAUUUUUUUAGAAGCAAUCAUUUAAGCCUGUUUUAAAAAUAAAAAUAAAAACUUAUUUGUGGUUUAUAGCACAUGCGCUUAUCAUGAUAAGUGAUUAUCUAUAAGCUUACAUAAUCUGUUUCUAUGGCAAAAGAUAAAAUAAAAUUGUUUUCGUAUAUGCUAUAAGUUGUUUCCAUAAACUAUUUUGGAGAACUUACAAAAAAAAGCUUAUGAAAAAUGUCAUAAGCUAUUUUUAUAAGUUGUCCAAAACAGUAUCACAAAACUUAUGCCGGUAGAUAAGCUCAAGCCCUAAUGGGAUAACUUGUACAACUUUUCAUGAUUUGUUUCAAGAAGGAAAAUCAAACGGAACCGUAAAAACAGUUUGUAAAAACCAAGAGUUCAUGGUUUGUCAUGAACCAAACUUGUUUUAAGAUUCAGUGCACCAGGUUAUGCGCUUUUUGGACCAAUAUUGUUUUGAAUGGAGGCCAUGGUGCUGUCAUAGGCCGCAAUGGCGUGUUUAUUGGGGUUUUCUGCCAUAUUCCACACAACACUGUUUUGAAUAAAUAGGUUCUAUCUUUAUAGAACAGAGAUGUUACCUUUACGAACCGAACUGUAUCUUGACUAACCGAGAUGCCCCCAUAGGCUUGGUUUGUGUGUGUAGUACGCGGUAACAAUUUCCAGAUUUCAAUUUGAGUAUUAUGUUUUUCCAGAAUUGUGGGCAUACAGGAGUAAAGAGCAACAUCGGCAAAUUUAUUGGAUAGCCGUCAACUUAUUCUAGUCACUUAGUUGUUUGCUUCAUUAUGUGAAUACUUGUUCUCAAUUUAAAGCACUUAUGAAAGUUUAAAGUUUCUCUUUCAAAUCAUCAAAUACUGAGAGACUGAUUUAAUACAACUUUAUUGAAAGAACUAUAGGAAGAGUCUAUACAGAAAGAUGAUUUUUAUUUCUAUGAACAUAUAAUACAAGGAUAGAGUCUUUUAUUACAAUAUUAAUCAUGAAGACUCACUUAACUAUAAUACUCUAUUUCCGGUGACACUCUUCAAAGACCUCAUCAUGCAUGCUUUAUUUUCUUCACAUAAAUAUAGCAUAACAUGCAAGUUCAAGAUCACACGCAUUCAAUUCGCUUCUUAGCAACAAGACAGAGAGGAUUUUUCUUGUGUUGAAUAAGUCCGGCUUGACCAUGAGUGUCAAUGUCUUCCCUCUUAGCUCCUUCAGGCAUUUCCCAGUCAAAUGAACAGAGAAGAUUAGAAAGUACAAGGUCGAUGGUAGCAAUAGCCAUGUUUAAGCCGGGGCAAAUUCUUCGCCCAGAUCACCCUCUUACUCCAACCUCAACCUCAUCUAGUGAGUGUGGAUGUCAUCCAAACAAAUGGGGGUGUUGUCUUGAUCUUCAUUGCAAUCAUAAACGCACAUGGAAAUUUGUAAGCGAUGAAAAUUAAACAACGACACUUGGAUUUAUCCGUACUACAACCAACUACUCGAUCAACCUCGAUUGCAAGAUAAUGCAAAGCGUUCCUUGAUAUGUUUCGAAUCAACCUAGCCACAUCAACUUUCCUUUGAACCUAUGUUCAAGCAUGAUCAUGCUCGUCCGGAAGGAAGAAUGUAUUUGAGUAUGUUGUGACUCUAGCAUGUUGUGAAUGGAGUUCCAUUUUGUACUUAAUUCACCCAUACUACUAUAGUAAGAUACUUUUUUAACCGUCUGUGUGCAUAUUCUGCUCUGUUUGUUGUAGUAUUCCCCAUAUGUUUGACUUUAUUGAACCAAAACGUCACAACUUAUUCCUUCACCGAACCCAAAAUUUUAUUUUCAACAUAUUUCACAAACUUAGGAAAUUUGUGGCAUACAACUUUGAACCGGUUGCAAUUAUCAACAUAUGCUUGCUCUGUAUCAGAAUUCACGAUAUCCUCCCAUGCAACCAUAACCGUCUUCACCACCUCACUUGACUUGAUCUCUUUCCUAUCCUUGCCUUUUAAAUCCUUAACUUUGCAAUCUGUCUUACAUUUUGCUCUAACAUUUUUUUCAAUGUGAUGCUCACACAAGAGAGCAGUAGCUUCAAGGAAAACAAUAUACACAACAUUCAUCAAAGCAUUUUACUGAUUAGUGACAACUACUUUGGGUGAAAUAUCUUUGGAAUGCAACAGUUCACAACACCUGUCAUAAGACCAAGUAACAUUAUCUUCCUUCUCAUACAUCAUAUAACCAAAUCCACUAGAGAACAUGUACUCGGUAGAAGUGUUACCAACAAACUCAAGUAACGGAAGACGAUACUUGUUGGUCUUAUAAAUGGAACCCAUCACAAGCACCGUAGGCAACGUGUUAAACAACUUGAUACCAUGCAUUUAGGAAAAUAUCACUUACAUCAUCGGAAUCAUGAUAAUUCCUACGUGAUACAUGUACUCCUUCUCAACCAAUAAUUUCAAAAGAUGUUGCAUGUCUGUUCUCGUACCCCUAAUGGACUGCCUAUACCUGUGACAAGCAUUAUAAAUAUGCUUGAUAUUUGUUGAAGUUUUACUAUUCCUUUUCCUUAAGUUGGUAAGAAUUUUCCUCAGAUAAAUAUUUGAGUCCGUCAACUCAUGAAGGUAUAGGCUUUCAUUUGGGUUUAGACGUCCGACAAUUUUAUGACCUUUCAACACCUCUUCCAUGUCAUGGUUGUGUCUACCGUCACCAACUUGGAGGCUCCAAUCACCAACAAUCAACAAAUAACCUCUCAACCGAAACAAACACUCACAUUUAACCGAACCAGAUAUUUUGUGCCUCGUCAACUUCUUGUACUCCGUGUAUGGACCUCCUCUUUCACAUAUGACAAUAACACUCACAUUUAACCGAAUCAUCUAUAACUUCAAGGUCAACAACCGACAACACAUUAGGUGGUUCAAUAUUAGGUGGCAACUCAUUGGAGGCAUCAACAGAAACAUCCAUUACUGAAACAGUGCAAAAGCAUGGUCAGAAAAUGCAGUCACUUUAUGCACUGGUGUUGUUCUUGAAGUAGGGAUAGCUAUUCAGCUAUUGAAAUCUCAUGGUAUGUGUGUUAUGUAUAUCCGCUAAUAUAUAGACAACACCAACUAUUAGAAAAGAUUUAGAGAUUAAAGAGUUGAAUAAUUUGGUUUUGGAUAGAACAUUAUCCAUAAUUUAAUCUGUGUAGCUGACUAUACUUAAUGGGAUAGACCUGAUUAUUGUUGGUGUUGCUUUGAUUUUGGAUAGAACAUUAUCCAUAAUUUAAUCUAUGUAGCUGACUGUACUUAAUGAGAUAGACUUGAUUAUUGUUGUUGUUGCGUCAGUACUAUUUUAUUCCUUAUUUAUCACACUCUAAAUCAUUAAGAUAUACACACCACUGACUUCUUUAAGACACUUUAUAAUAUGUGUCAUCGCCAUUAAAGUUACAAUAUUAUUUUAAAUUGUUUUUGUCUCAUUCCAUUUUGAACACAUCAGUAUGGGAUGAAUAUAGACACAAAAGCAAACAUAAACAAGUCAAUAUUAUUUAUUAUCUUUUGUCAACAAAAAAAAAAAUACUAUUUAUUAUCUAUUUAUCACACUUUUUUUUGAAGAAACUAUCUAUUUAUCACACUUUAAAUGAGUAAACUACCAAUUUUGUCUUAAUCUUUAUAAUUUUUAAAUGAGUAAAUCAUCAAUUUUGUCUUGGUCUUUAUAAGUGAUUCACUAAUUAGUCUCUGACUCUACUAAUAUUUCAAAAUAGUCCUCGUCUUUGUCAAAAGUUUCUCAAUUAAGUUCCUCGUAUGUGAAAAAAAUAAUAGAAAUAUGAGUCUAAUUGAAAAACAUUUGACAAUAUUUCUAAAUAGUCUAUGUCUUUGUCAAAAGUUUCUCCAUUAAACCCAUAUUUCUAUGUUUUUUUCGCAUGACGAGAGACUUAAUUGAGAAAACUUUUGACAAAAGCAGAGACUAUUUUAAAAUAUUAGUAGAGUCGGGGGCUAAUUUGAGAAUCACUUACAAAGACAGGACCGAUUUGAUUAUUUACUCCACUUCAAAUCCUUUAAUGUAGACACCACCAACUCUUUUAAGAGCAUCCACAAUGGUAGUAACUAAUAGGGACUCCUUAAACGAGCUUCACAUGUACACAUUAUUUAUUUAUAAUUUUUUAAUAAAAGUAUCUAUUAAAGAUUCAAUGACUCUAAAGACAAUACACUAAUAUGGAUUACAAAUAAUGUAACAGGUACGUUGCAUGACAAAUUUCUUCUCCAUGAUUGUAAUGCUACAAAUUCAAUUGAUAUUCCGAAAGCAAGUUCUUUUCAUUAGGAAAUAUAUAUACAUUGGUUGUUUUCCGGACAGAUACAUGGAAUUUCAUCGAAUAGAUUAAAUUAUAGAUAGUGCAAAUAACAAAAGGAAAAAUAUUGCUCUAGUGACAUCAUUUUGGUUGGGUUUUCAAUAGGCUCCAGUGACAUCCAUUUUAUCCAUAAUUUUUUUUAGAAGACAUCAUUUAAGCCCUGUUUGAAUAAACCAUUUAUUCGCAGCUUAUAGCACAAGUGCUUAUCAUGAUAAAUGAUUAUCUAUAAGCUUACAUAAGCUGUUUCUAUGGCAAAAGAUAAAAUUAAAUUGUUUUGGUAUAUGCUAUAAGUUGUUUCCGUAAACUAUUUUGGAGAACUUGCAACUUUUCAUUGGCUGCAAUGGUGUGUUUAUUGGAGUUUUCUGCCAUAUUCCACCAUCCGUCAUCGACAACACUGUUUUGACUAAACAGGUUCUACAUUUAUAGAACAGAGAUGUUACCUUUGCAAACCGAACUGUUUUCUUGACUAACCAAGUUGCGAACCGAACUGUUUUGUGUGUAGUACAUGGUAACAAUUUCCAAAAUUCAAUUUGAGUAGUAUGUUUUUGCAGAAUUGCAGGCAUACAGGCGUAAAGAACAACAUCGGCGAAUUAUUGGAUAGCCGUCGACUUAUUCUAGUCACUUAGUUGUUUGCUUCAUAAUGUGAAUAUUUGUUCUCAAUUUAAAGCACUUAUGAAAGUUUACAGUUUCUCUUUCAAAUCAUCAAAUACUGAGAAGCUGAUUUAAUACAACUUUAUUGAAAGAAGGAAAAUGUAUAGAGAUACAAGAAAGAAAAACAACUGCUGAAAUCAAAGGGAACUACUUUGAAAAAUAACAUUCAAAAUCAACACAUCAUUUGUAGAACAUGGUCAUCGACUGAGUGAAAAACUAUUUAUAGGAUAAAACCUUAAUGUUCUUCACCAUUUCUCGACUCUCAGACUUCUUACAACAUGACAUAUCAGAUCAAAAUCAUCCUAUUUACCACUCCCCUGAACUACAAAGGAAUAGUUAAUACAGCAAGAUGAAUUUUAUUUCUUUGAACAUAUAAUACCACAUUAGAGUCUUUUAUUAUAAUAUUGAAUAUGAAGACUCACUUAACUAUAACAUGCAAUUUCAAGAUCACACGCAUUCAAUUCGCUUCUUAGCAACAAGACAGAGAGGAUUUUUCUUGUGUUGAAUAAGUCCGGCUUGACCAUGAGUGUCAAUGUCUUCCCUCUUAGCUCCUUCAGGCAUUUCCCAAUCAAAUGAAUAGAGAAGAUUAGAAAGUACAAGGUCGAUGGUAGCAAUAGCCAUGUUUAAGCCGGGGCAAAUUCUUCGCCCAGAACCAAACGGAAUCAGCUCAAAAUCUUGUCCUUUUAAAUCUAUAUCACUUCCUAUGAAUCUCUCUGGAUAAAACUCUUCUGGAUCCUUCCAUACUUCUGGGUCUCUAUGGAUCGCCAAUGCAUUCACGUACACCAAUGUCUUGUCUGGAAUGUCGUACCCUGCAAUGUUGCAAUUUGUCAUUGUUUCUCUUG